This 1613-nucleotide ribosomal RNA is filed under the name Triticum aestivum (bread wheat). Its description in RNAcentral is "partial small subunit ribosomal RNA". The record is from RNAcentral. Lineage: Eukaryota; Viridiplantae; Streptophyta; Magnoliopsida; Poales; Poaceae.
AACGCCGCGUGUUUUCUCUCUUCCUCCAACCUGGCUAGGGUUCCCAGCCCCAUCUUCUCCGCCGCCGCCAUGUAAUCCUCUCCGACCUCGCCUGGAGCAGCCAGCAAGAUGCCGCCGCCGUGGCCGCCUCUCUCCCUUCUCUCCUCUUUUUCCCUACCUUUCUCUCUCCUCUAAAGUCUAAACUGUGUGCAGGUCCUCUCCACAGGUGCUGCCAUGGCCGUGUCAUGGAGCUCGCCCCCGUGGGAUGCAUGCCCCUCCAAUGACGCCCUGUCCAGGUCCUCUGGAUCCCGAUUUGAGUGUGUUAUUUUGCGUCCGAUCCUGAUUUGGACGGCAUUUUUUGAGGCACCGCGAGCGCGCUGGACGGCAAAAAGGGUUGCGUCAAGGAGCGACGCAUUGUUGUAAGCCUGUAGCACACCAUUGUUGCUACUCCCACCUCGAUGGUCUAUCUCAUGGGUUGCAGAUAGGAUGUGAUAUUCUGCAGCGUGGACAUCGCCUAGCAAUCAGAUUUGAUGUUGAGAAAGAUCCGGCAGGAAGAUCUCAUCCUGGAACCCAGGAGUGCUUGAUUUGAUAUUGAGAAUUCUACUUGCUAGCAGUGUACAUGUUUCUUAUGAUGCCCGUGUGCGUUUACCUUGUCAAGAAGUUCCGCGUGAAUGUCAAUGCCGAUGAAGACAAAGGUGCUCUGCUUCGAUCCCUUCUUUUGAUUUCGCAAAAUGGAAAACACAAGGGUGUCUGGAAAUUGAGAUCGUUGGUUCACCAUCAGAAGCUUCGCAUGAACGUCAAUGUCGAUAAUGACAAAGGUGCUCUGUUUCGCUCCCUUCUUCUGAUUUUGCAAAAUGCAAAACACCAGGGUGUCUAGAAAUUGAGAUCGUUGGUUCACCAGCAACACAGUCAGUAUUAUAAAACAGAUUGCAUGGAUGCUUUAUUUGUGUGUUCGAUGUAGUCUAAUUUGAUAUACGCGGUGAUGGUAUUGAAUCUGCAAAGAAAAUAUAUACUCAUUUCCUAAUUGCAUCUUUUAAUCAGGAGCCCAGGACCAACCUUUAGGCAGGAAAGAGGGACAAUCUUCAGUAAAGUACAAUUUUCAUGUCUUCUUAUAACAUUUGACUGAUGUGUUAUGGUAUCAUUCUUCUACUUUCACAGCUAUUACUGUGAAUGUGUUGACGUCAUGUCUUCUCAUCAUUUGAGCUUACUUCGAUAUUAUUGAUUCUAAAUCCAGCAAGAUCUUGAAUAUUUUUUCACUUUGCCCAUUCAAAAAUUUGUUCACCUAGCAACAUUCAUGAUGUAAGCUUUGAUUUGAAAAACAACUUUUAAUGUUAUAGGACAGACAAAGAAGAAGGUUAGGGAGGACAUGCCCGAGAAGCUCAGAGAUAAGGCAGAGGUUGGGGACACAUAGGGGAAGCCUUGAAGGGGGAGAUAAGCAAGCUCAAGCACUAUGAGCAUGGGAUGACAGAGCGGCCGACCAAGGCGGUUGAGAGCAGGCGUGUGCGAGAGGAAGUGAACUGGGGAGAGGCAACAGGGGGCAUCACUAGGAAGGCAGCAGGUGGCAUGCAACAUUGGCCUUAUCUCUUAUGUUCGCCAAGGUGGCCUGUUGUUUCCACAAUAUGUUUGGAUUGUCA